AGUAACGGCGAGUGAAGCGGCAAAAGCUCAAAUUUGAAAUCUGGCCUCUGGUCCGAAUUGUAAUUUGAAGAAGCGACUCUGGUACCGGCCCUUGUCUAUGUUCCUUGGAACAGGACGUCACAGAGGGUGAGAAUCCCGUGCGAUGGGGUGUCCGGUGCUAUGUAGAGCGUUUUCGACGAGUCGAGUUGUUUGGGAAUGCAGCUCUAAGUGGGUGGUAAAUUCCAUCUAAAGCUAAAUAUUGGCGAGAGACCGAUAGCGAACAAGUACUGUGAAGGAAAGAUGAAAAGAACUUUGAAAAGAGAGUGAAAAAGUACGUGAAAUUGUUGAAAGGGAAGGGCUUGGGAUCAGACAUUGUAUUUCCAUGGCGCUCUUUCGGGGGUGUCCUCUGGGUUUACAGGGCCAGCAUGGGUUCUGCGGGCAAGAUGAGGGUUUGGGGAAUGUGGCUCUGCUUCGGCGGCCCUGUUAUAGCCCUGGACACCGGUUGCCACGCGGGACCGAGGAUUGCGAAUCUAGGAUGCUGGCAUAAUGAUCUUAAGCCGCCCGUCUUGAAACACGGACCAAGGAGUCUAACGUCUAUGCGAGUGUUUGGGUGUAAAACCCGUACGCGGAAUGAAAGUGAACGCAGGUGAGAGCUUCGGCGCAUCAUCGACCGAUCCUGAUGUCUUCGGAUGGAUUUGAGUAAGAGCAUAGCUGUUGGGACCCGAAAGAUGGUGAACUAUGCCUGAAUAGGGUGAAGCCAGAGGAAA
Molecule: ribosomal RNA, 746 nt
Filed under: Suhomyces chickasaworum
Lineage: Eukaryota; Fungi; Ascomycota; Pichiomycetes; Serinales; Debaryomycetaceae
Description: LSU rRNA
Rfam family: Eukaryotic large subunit ribosomal RNA
Source: RNAcentral